Molecule: transfer RNA, 29 nt
Filed under: Lingulaulax polyedra
Lineage: Eukaryota; Dinophyceae; Gonyaulacales; Lingulodiniaceae
Description: Lingulodinium polyedra partial Selenocysteine transfer RNA
Source: RNAcentral
GGCGCCGGACUUCAAACCCGGCGAGCUGG